The sequence is a ribosomal RNA, 1160 nucleotides long. The stretch from base 552 to 1160 matches the Rfam family "Eukaryotic large subunit ribosomal RNA", at positions 1 to 631 of the family's 3401-position model.
UGUCGUAAACCCAGGUUUCCGUAGGUGAACCUGCGGAAGGAUCAUUAAUGAAAUGCAAGGACGCUCUUUUUAGAGGUCCGACCCAAUUCAUUUUCUCACACUGUGCACAUACACUUUUUUACACCAUUUUUAACACCUAAGUCUUAAGAAUGUAAAGAGUCUCUUAAUUGAGCAUAAAAGUUAAACAAAACUUUCAGCAACGGAUCUCUUGGCUCUCCCAUCGAUGAAGAACGCAGCGAAAUGCGAUACGUAAUGUGAAUUGCAGAAUUCAGUGAAUCAUCGAAUCUUUGAACGCACCUUGCACUCUUUGGUAUUCCGAAGAGUAUGUCUGUUUGAGUGUCAUGAAACUCUCAACCCCCUUGUUUUGUAAUGAAGCAAGAGUGGGCUUGGAUUAUGGCUGCUGCCGGCGUAAUUGUCGACUCGGCUGAAAUACACGAGCUACCCAUUUCUUAAGAAAUAGACGGUUUGACUCGGCGUAAUAACAUAUUUCGCUGAGGACGUCACAUUCUUUACUUAGUGGUGCUUCUAAUUCACAUCUAAACUUAAGCUUUAGACCUCAAAUCAGUCAGGACUACCCGCUGAACUUAAGCAUAUCAAUAAGCGGAGGAAAAGAAACUAACAAGGAUUCCCCUAGUAACGGCGAGUGAAGUGGGAAAAGCUCAACUUUGAAAUCUGGCAGCUUCGCUGUCCGAGUUGUAGUCUCGAGAAGUGUUUUCCGCGCUGGAACAUGUAUGAGUCUGUUGGAACACAGCGUCAUAGAGGGUGAGAACCCCGUUCAUGACAUGCCUCCCAGUGCUUUGUGAUACACUUUCGAUGAGUCGAGUUGUUUGGGAAUGCAGCUCAAAUUGGGUGGUAAAUUCCAUCUAAAGCUAAAUAUUGGGGAGAGACCGAUAGCAAACAAGUACCGUGAGGGAAAGAUGAAAAGCACUUUGGAAAGAGAGUUAAAAGUACGUGAAAUUGUUGAAAGGGAAACGCUUGAAGUCAGACGUGCGCAGCUUCGGCUAAUGCAGGCUAGCAUCGGUUUUGCGAGUCGGAUAAAGGUAAGAGGAAGGUGGCAGCUUCGGCUGUGUUAUAGCCUCUUACUGAAUACGAAUUGCGAGACCGAGGAAUGCAGCGCGCCGCAAGGCAAAGGGUUCGCCCUUCGCGCUAGGAUGCUGUAA